Molecule: ribosomal RNA, 468 nt
Filed under: uncultured bacterium
Lineage: Bacteria
Description: partial 16S ribosomal RNA
Rfam family: Bacterial small subunit ribosomal RNA
Source: RNAcentral
GACGAACGCUGGCGGCGUGCUUAACACAUGCAAGUCGAACGGAAAGGCCCUGCUUGUGUGGGGUGCUCGAGUGGCGAACGGGUGAGUAACACGUGAGUAACCGGCCCUUGACUUUGGGAUAACUUCAGGAAACGGGGGCUAAUACCGGAUAGGAGCUCCUGCUGCAGGGUGGGGGGGGGAAAGUUUCGGCGGUUGGGGAUGGACUCGCGGCUGAUCAGCUUGUUGGUGGGGUAGUGGCUUACCAAGGCUUUGACGGGUAGCCGGCCUGAGAGGGUGACCGGCCACAUUGGGACUGCGAUACGGCCCAGACUCCUACGGGAGGCAGCAGUGGGGAAUCUUGCCCAAUGGGCGGAAGCCUGAUGCAGCAACGCCGCGUGCGGGAUGACGGCCUUCGGGUUGUAAACCGCUUUCGCCUGUGACGAAGCGUGAGUGACGGUAAUGGGUAAAGAAGCACCGGCUAACUACGUG